This is a long non-coding RNA of Suncus etruscus (white-toothed pygmy shrew), 100 nucleotides long. RefSeq lists it as uncharacterized. The transcript is spliced from 2 exons. Lineage: Eukaryota; Metazoa; Chordata; Mammalia; Eulipotyphla; Soricidae. The record is from RefSeq and is a predicted model, not a curated record.
CUUAUCACAUCUUCAGUCUGCUCCUCCAAAUAUGGCGGCCAUACACCUAUGGGCUUGCACUGUUGCGUGGAGUAUGACAAACUCAGAUUUUUUUUUUCUU